UUAGAGACCAGUCUCUCGCUCUAUCUGUCUCUCCCCCUUCUCUCUAGAACCUUCUGGUUCACCUUCUGCGAUGGCUUUCACUGUCUCUCCGCCCACCUCCAACCUCACCUCUUUUGACGACCAGCCACCGUGGAGCCUUACUUUGUGGGUUCUCUCCACUUCUGAUACCUCAUGAGUCUCCUCCAUGCAACACAGUCACUGGAGCUUUGCUGAGGUUUGUUUCCAGCCUUUCUCCAAUGGAUUCUAGUCCGAUGGUGCUGUAAACACCAUUAUUCUCGAGUUUCACAGCCAGGUUUCUCUUGUUUCUCUCACUAGUUUCUUAUGAAACCCUAAUCUCGGUCCAAACCUCUCAAACCUCUGAUUUUUGAAUGAUUUUUUACUCGUACCUUUAUGUUUUGCACUAUUUUUUACUCGAUCUUCACGAUUAGUCCGGUUUUUAAUGUUUCCGUUCCCUUCUUGAAACUAGGGUUUCUUAACCCUUUGUCAAAAUACCUUAUCUUUUGAUUUUAAGUACUAAUCUAUUAUUCCCAGUACGAUUUCUAAACUAUUUUUUUGCUUAAGUCUGAUGAAACCCUAGCCUUAUAUGUUUGUAUUUGUAUUAUUUGCUUGUCCGUGUGUUCUUCUGGAUUCUUCUCUGAGUUUUAUGCACUUUGCUUUAAUUUUGUUGCUCGUGUUCAGUCCCCUACUGUUCUGUGUUCUCUGCUUAGGGUUCUCUACGACAUUGUUCAGUAUGGGCUAUGUAUCAUUUUCUAAAAUUGACCAUUCGUCCUACUGACUGUUUACAUGGUGAUUUAUACUGAUUCAUACAAGCUCUCUUUAAGACUGUGAUUACUCGCCUUAAAUUGUGAUUUUGUGUAUUCUCAUUAUAAAUUGGAAUUGAUUCUGAAUUGUAUCCUUAAUUCAUAUCUUUUUGGGACACCUUCCUCAAUCAAUAUUGAUCCCUUAAGUUUUCAAUCUCGUUCAUUAUUUUUGAAAACUAUUUUCCAAAAUUACAGUGAUACUCUGCCUAUAUAUGUGUACAAAUUUGUUGAUUGAUUUGCGUGAAAUAUUUCCCUAAUUAAGUAUCAUGGACCUAGUCUUCAUUGUAUACCUUAUACUAUUCUAUUUUCUUAUGUGAUCAUACCAUGCUUUCUGAUUCCUUUUCUUUUAAAAUAACUGCUUAUUACCAUUUGACUUUGAUUCCUUAAUUAAAGGAGAGUUAAUAUGCUGAUUUGAUUAUGAUUGAUACCCAGUUCCUUAAUUAGGGACUGCUACCUUGUUUAUUUACUCAUAUUCAGUACUAUAACUACUCCCCAUUCUCUUUUUCAUAAACGCGACAACUGACACACUGCAUAUCACAAACACAGACACAGUAAUCACAUUGCUCUCCCUUGUGCUAUUUCUCUACUUUUCUCGUUUGUGCUGUUGUUGCUCAUUGUUCUUGACUAUUACUAGCUGGCUGAAAAGCCAAGGCUAAUAUUGUGCUCACAUUUGGCUCUUGCAUUCUGUUGUGCUCUCUUUGUUGCUGGUACGUUCUGAUUAAAUUCUAUUUUCCAAACCAAUGUGGUCAUUGUUACUUCAGUAUGUUCUAUUCCUAAUUGUUUUCUUCUUGUGCUUCUGCUGUGCAACCUGUGAUUAAUUCCUGGGCUGCCUAUUGAAACUUACACGCUCAUCACUACUGUUUACCUAUUAUGGCUGCAUGUUGGUACUAUUUACUUUGGUGUCUCAAUUUGUCUAUUUCAAGGCCUCUUAAAUCUCUUUGAUUCUGUAAGUUUGCAUGUUUGUACCCUUUACCCAUUACCCUUGUGUGCAACCAUGCUCUUACAUGCGAACUACUUGUCUCAUUUCCCCUUUCCCUAUUUGUGUUUGCUUUCCUGAACUAGGGUUGAUAUUCCAGUUCUGAAAUUGUCCUACUCCUCUUCUUACAAAAUUGUCAUACUCUGCUACUAUUUUCUUUCCAAAUAUUCUUUAGGGAUCAUUUUCAAACUGUUUUAUCUCAACUUAAUUUCUUUAAAAAAUAUAUCACGCACUCUCACUAUUCUUAGAGAUUAGGCUCUAACUCCUUAGUGUAAGCAUUGCUUUGGGUAUCCAUGAGUACCUACUGAACUUUGAUGCACAAGGCUGGUAAUUCCACACUGCACAUGUCCAACAAUUUUGGCAAGUGUUUGGGUGCUGUUAUUGGCCAGGGACCCAAUGGGGGAUCUUAGGGACCUUUGCCGCACUCAGACUAUGGCAAAGGCUGUGAAACUCGAAAGGAGUGAGGUUGGAAGAAUGGACUGACUGAAGGCUACCUAUUUAAUAACUUCUUUUUUUCUUUUUUUACUGUAAUUCAGCUAUCCUUGGUUUGUAAUAAUUUGUAAACGAAUGAUUGGGGCUAAAUAAUGAAUAUGGGGGGGUUAUGCACGCUUAGUUUAAG
Molecule: long non-coding RNA, 2395 nt
Filed under: Nicotiana benthamiana
Lineage: Eukaryota; Viridiplantae; Streptophyta; Magnoliopsida; Solanales; Solanaceae
Description: long non-coding RNA (NBEN_LNC012015)
Source: RNAcentral